This 442-nucleotide ribosomal RNA is filed under the name Acinetobacter baumannii. Its description in RNAcentral is "partial 16S ribosomal RNA". It matches the Rfam family "Bacterial small subunit ribosomal RNA", at positions 387 to 820 of the family's 1533-position model. Lineage: Bacteria; Pseudomonadati; Pseudomonadota; Gammaproteobacteria; Moraxellales; Moraxellaceae. The record is from RNAcentral.
AUCAGCCAUGCCGCGUGUGUGAAGAAGGCCUUAUGGUUGUAAAGCACUUUAAGCGAGGAGGAGGCUACUCUAGUUAAUACCUAGGGAUAGUGGACGUUACUCGCAGAAUAAGCACCGGCUAACUCUGUGCCAGCAGCCGCGGUAAUACAGAGGGUGCGAGCGUUAAUCGGAUUUACUGGGCGUAAAGCGUGCGUAGGCGGCUUAUUAAGUCGGAUGUGAAAUCCCCGAGCUUAACUUGGGAAUUGCAUUCGAUACUGGUGAGCUAGAGUAUGGGAGAGGAUGGUAGAAUUCCAGGUGUAGCGGUGAAAUGCGUAGAGAUCUGGAGGAAUACCGAUGGCGAAGGCAGCCAUCUGGCCUAAUACUGACGCUGAGGUACGAAAGCAUGGGGAGCAAACAGGAUUACAUACCCUGGUAGUCCAUGCCUUUUUUUUUUUUUUUUACU